This 301-nucleotide ribosomal RNA is filed under the name uncultured bacterium. Its description in RNAcentral is "partial 16S ribosomal RNA". It matches the Rfam family "Bacterial small subunit ribosomal RNA", at positions 509 to 809 of the family's 1533-position model. The record is from RNAcentral.
CAGUCGCCGCGGUAAUACGUAGGGUGCGAGCGUUAAUCGGAAUUACUGGGCGUAAAGCGUGCGCAGGCGGUUGUGUAAGACAGGUGUGAAAUCCCCGGGCUUAACCUGGGAACUGCGCUUGUGACUGCACAGCUAGAGUAUGGCAGAGGGGGGUGGAAUUCCACGUGUAGCAGUGAAAUGCGUAGAGAUGUGGAGGAACACCGAUGGCGAAGGCAGCCCCCUGGGCCAAUACUGACGCUCAUGCACGAAAGCGUGGGGAGCAAGCAGGAUUAGAUACCCCCGUAGUCCCUGUCUCUUAUAA